RNAcentral lists this unclassified non-coding RNA (343 nucleotides) under soil metagenome. Its description in RNAcentral is "partial contains 5.8S ribosomal RNA, internal transcribed spacer 2, and large subunit ribosomal RNA". The stretch from base 1 to 120 matches the Rfam family "5.8S ribosomal RNA", at positions 35 to 154 of the family's 154-position model. The record is from RNAcentral.
GAUGAAGAACGUAGCGAAAUGCGAUAAGUAAUGUGAAUUGCAGAAUUCAGUGAAUCAUCGAAUCUUUGAACGCACAUUGCGCCCGCUAGUAUUCUGGCGGGCAUGCCUGUCCGAGCGUCAUUUCAACCCUCAAGCCCCCGGGCUUGGUGUUGGGGAUCGGCGAGCCUCCGCGCCCGCCGUCCCCUAAAUCUAGUGGCGGUCUCGCUGUAGCUUCCUCUGCGUAGUAGCACACCUCGCACUGGGAAACAGCGCGGCCACGCCGUUAAACCCCCAACUUCUGAACGUUUGACCUCGGAUCAGGUAGGAAUACCCGCUGAACUUAAGCUUAUCAAUAAGCGGAGGA